RNAcentral lists this ribosomal RNA (102 nucleotides) under Pteropus alecto (black flying fox). Lineage: Eukaryota; Metazoa; Chordata; Mammalia; Chiroptera; Pteropodidae. The record is from RNAcentral.
GUCUACGGCCAUACCACCCUGAACAAGCCCGAAGCUAAGCAGAGUCGGGCCUGGUUAGUACUUGGAUGGGAGACCAUCUAGGAAGACCAGGUGCUAUAGGCG